GACGAACGCUGGCGGCGCGCUUAACACAUGCAAGUCGAACGGAAAUUCCUGCUUUCCCUUGUGGCUUGCGGGUACUCCAUUGGCGAAUGGCUUUGUAACACGUGAGUGAUCUGCCCCCUACUUGUGUUUACGCCUGUGACCCUGGGUCUAAUUCCCGAUAGCCUUUCAGGCUGCUGCCUGUUGUUUAACUCGAUUUUUUAGUUGUUGGGGCUGAGCUCGCGGCCUAUCAGCUUGUUGGUGGGGUAAUGGCCUCCCAAGGCGGCGACGGGUAGCCGGCCUGAGAGGGUGGACGGGCACAUUGGGACUGAGAUACGGCGUAGACUCCUACGGGAGGCAGCAGUGGGGAAGAUUGAACAAUGGGGGGAAGCCUGAUGAAGCGACGAAGCGUGGGGGAUGACGGCCUUCGGGUUGUAAACUCCUUUCGACCGCGAGGAAGCCACCUGGUUGGAAGGGUGGUGACGGUAGUGGUAGAAGAAGCACCGGCUAACUACGUG
This 494-nucleotide ribosomal RNA is filed under the name uncultured bacterium. RNAcentral's name for it is "partial 16S ribosomal RNA". It matches the Rfam family "Bacterial small subunit ribosomal RNA", at positions 28 to 507 of the family's 1533-position model. The record is from RNAcentral.